AGUGGCGCGUGCUACCAUGCAAGUCGAACGAUGAUGCCCAGCUUGCUGGGCGGAUUAGUGGCGAACGGGUGAGUAAUACGUGAGUAACCUGCCCUUGACUCUGGGAUAAGCCUGGGAAACUGGGUCUAAUACUGGAUACUACCGUCCACCGCAUGGUGGGUGGUGGAAAGGGUUUUACUGGUUUUGGAUGGGCUCACGGCCUAUCAGCUUGUUGGUGGGGUAAUGGCUCACCAAGGCGACGACGGGUAGCCGGCCUGAGAGGGUGACCGGCCACACUGGGACUGAGACACGGCCCAGACUCCUACGGGAGGCAGCAGUGGGGAAUAUUGCACAAUGGGCGGAAGCCUGAUGCAGCGACGCCGCGUGAGGGAUGACGGCCUUCGGGUUGUAAACCUCUUUCAGUAGGGAAGAAGCGAGAGUGACGGUACCUGCAGAAGAAGCGCCGGCUAACUACGUGCCAGCAGCCGCGGUAAUACGUAGGGCGCAAGCGUUGUCCGGAAUUAUUGGGCGUAAAGAGCUCGUAGGCGGUUUGUCGCGUCUGCUGUGAAAGCCCGGGGCUCAACCCCGGGUCUGCAGUGGGUACGGGCAGACUAGAGUGCAGUAGGGGAGACUGGAAUUCCUGGUGUAGCGGUGAAAUGCGCAGAUAUCAGGAGGAACACCGAUGGCGAAGGCAGGUCUCUGGGCUGUUACUGACGCUGAGGAGCGAAAGCAUGGGGAGCGAACAGGAUUAGAUACCCUGGUAGUCCAUGCCGUAAACGUUGGGCACUAGGUGUGGGGGACAUUCCACGUUUUCCGCGCCGUAGCUAACGCAUUAAGUGCCCCGCCUGGGGAGUACGGCCGCAAGGCUAAAACUCAAAGGAAUUGACGGGGGCCCGCACAAGCGGCGGAGCAUGCGGAUUAAUUCGAUGCAACGCGAAGAACCUUACCAAGGCUUGACAUUCACCGGACCGCCCCAGAGAUGGGGUUUCCCUUCGGGGCUGGUGGACAGGUGGUGCAUGGUUGUCGUCAGCUCGUGUCGUGAGAUGUUGGGUUAAGUCCCGCAACGAGCGCAACCCUCGUUCUAUGUUGCCAGCACGUGAUGGUGGGGACUCAUAGGAGACUGCCGGGGUCAACUCGGAGGAAGGUGGGGAUGACGUCAAAUCAUCAUGCCCCUUAUGUCUUGGGCUUCACGCAUGCUACAAUGGCCGGUACAAAGGGUUGCGAUACUGUGAGGUGGAGCUAAUCCCAAAAAGCCGGUCUCAGUUCGGAUUGAGGUCUGCAACUCGACCUCAUGAAGUCGGAGU
Molecule: ribosomal RNA, 1283 nt
Filed under: uncultured Kocuria sp.
Lineage: Bacteria; Bacillati; Actinomycetota; Actinomycetes; Micrococcales; Micrococcaceae
Description: bacterial SSU rRNA
Rfam family: Bacterial small subunit ribosomal RNA
Source: RNAcentral